This 68-nucleotide transfer RNA is filed under the name Seasogonia rosea. Its description in RNAcentral is "tRNA-Gln". Lineage: Eukaryota; Metazoa; Arthropoda; Insecta; Hemiptera; Cicadellidae. The record is from RNAcentral.
UAAAAAUAGGUGUAAGAAGCACUUAAAUUUUUGAAAUUUAAUGGUGAGUUUAAUUCUCAAAUUUUUAA